Molecule: non-coding RNA, 706 nt
Organism: Myodes glareolus (Bank vole)
Lineage: Eukaryota; Metazoa; Chordata; Mammalia; Rodentia; Cricetidae
Source: RefSeq, a predicted model, not a curated record
ACUAGCGCAGUAUCUGACAUAGAGUAACAGAUGUUUGCUAAAGUGAAGCAAAUUGACUUGGUCCUAGCUUGUGAGUCCAGUGACUAUGAGGAGAUUGGAACAGGAAAGGCUGACUUGAAUUAGUCAGUCUAUGGAUUAGUUCACUGGUAGAUUCAUAAUUUGAUGGCACUAUUGACAGAUAAUAAAAACUAGCAUAUGGGGCCUGAUAAAAGGAAGUCAGUCACCAGGACACAGUUUUGAAUGGUCUAUCUAGUUUGUGGAAUCUUUUUUUUUCUCUCUCUCUCUUUCUUCCAGACCCAAUGGUGCACAGCUCUGCUGCACUAUAUCAUUUACUCAUAUGUAUCGCCUCACCACCAGUCUAUAGCAACAAACCCAGGGAAUCAAGAACUGAAGUAUCUGGAACCAUGAACGAGAUAAACUCUCCUCCUGUAUGCUCUUUAUGAGAAACUGACAUAUGGGACACCAAAAGAACUGAAUAAUGGUACUCAACUUCAUAUGGAAAAGCAAAAAACCCAAUAUAGCCUAAACAAUCCUGUACAAUAAAGAAACUUCUGGAGGCAUCACAAUCCCUGACUUCAAACUCUAUUUCAGAGCUACAGUACUGAAAACAGUCUUGGAUUGGCAUAAAAACAGACAGGGAAGACCAACGGAACUGAAUCGAGGACCCGGAUAUUAAUCCACACACCUACGGACACCUGAUUUUUGA